GACGAACGCUGGCGGCGUGCCUAAUACAUGCAAGUAGAACGCUGAAGGAGGAGCUUGCUUCUCUGGAUGAGUUGCGAACGGGUGAGUAACGCGUAGGUAACCUGCCUGGUAGCGGGGGAUAACUAUUGGAAACGAUAGCUAAUACCGCAUCAGAGUAGAUGUCGCAUGACAUUUGCUUAAAAGGUGCAAUUGCAUCACUACCAGAUGGACCUGCGUUGUAUUAGCUAGUUGGUGAGGUAACGGCUCACCAAGGCAACGAUUCAUAGCCCAGCCGACAGGGUGAUCGGCCACCCUGGGAAUGAGACACGGCCCAGACUCCUACGGGAGGAAGCAGUAGGGAAGCGUCGGCAAUGGACGGAAGUCUGACCGAGCAACGCCGCGUGAGUGAAGAAGGUUUUCGGAUCGUAAAGCUCUGUUGUAAGAGAAGAACGAGUGUGAGAGUGGAAAGUUCACACUGUGACGGUAUCUUACCAGAAAGGGACGGCUAACUACGUG
RNAcentral lists this ribosomal RNA (495 nucleotides) under uncultured bacterium. RNAcentral describes it as "partial 16S ribosomal RNA". It matches the Rfam family "Bacterial small subunit ribosomal RNA", at positions 28 to 507 of the family's 1533-position model. The record is from RNAcentral.